Molecule: ribosomal RNA, 253 nt
Filed under: uncultured bacterium
Lineage: Bacteria
Description: partial 16S ribosomal RNA
Rfam family: Bacterial small subunit ribosomal RNA
Source: RNAcentral
UACGUAGGGUGCAAGCGUUAAUCGGAAUUACUGGGCGUAAAGCGUGCGCAGGCGGUUAUGUAAGACAGGUGUGAAAUCCCCGGGCUUAACCUGGGAACUGCAUUUGUGACUGCAUAGCUAGAGUACGGUAGAGGGGGAUGGAAUUCCGCGUGUAGCAGUGAAAUGCGUAGAUAUGCGGAGGAACACCGAUGGCGAAGGCAAUCCCCUGGGCCUGUACUGACGCUCAUGCACGAAAGCGUGGGGAGCAAGCAGG